GGGGAAUUUUGGACAAUGGGCGCAAGCCUGAUCCAGCCAUGCCGCGUGCAGGAUGAAGGCCUUCGGGUUGUAAACUGCUUUUGUACGGAACGAAAAGGUGCCUUCUAAUAAAGGGCGCUCAUGACGGUACCGUAAGAAUAAGCACCGGCUAACUACGUGCCAGCAGCCGCGGUAAUACGUAGGGUGCGAGCGUUAUUCGGAAUUACUGGGCGUAAAGCGCGUGCAGGCGGGCGGGCAAGUCUGAUGUGAAAGCCCCGGGCUUAACCUGGGAAGUGCAUUGGNAACUGCUCGUCUUGAGUACUGGAGAGGAAGGGGGAAUUCCCGGUGUAGAGGUGAAAUUCGUAGAGAUCGGGAGGAAUACCAGUGGCGAAGGCGCCCUUCUGGACGGUAACUGACGCUGAGACGCGAAAGCGUGGGGAGCAAACA
This 426-nucleotide ribosomal RNA is filed under the name uncultured bacterium. RNAcentral describes it as "bacterial SSU rRNA". It matches the Rfam family "Bacterial small subunit ribosomal RNA", at positions 356 to 774 of the family's 1533-position model. The record is from RNAcentral.